UACGUAGGGUGCAAGCGUUAAUCGGACUUACUGGGCGUAAAGCGUGCGCAGGCGGCUAUGCAAGACAGAUGUGAAAUCCCCGGGCUCAACCUGGGAACUGCAUUUGUGACUGCAUGGCUAGAGUACGGUAGAGGGGGAUGGAAUUCCGCGUGUAGCAGUGAAAUGCGUAGAUAUGCGGAGGAACACCGAUGGCGAAGGCAAUCCCCUGGACCUGUACUGACGCUCAUGCACGAAAGCGUGGGGAGCAAACAGG
RNAcentral lists this ribosomal RNA (253 nucleotides) under uncultured bacterium. RNAcentral describes it as "partial 16S ribosomal RNA". It matches the Rfam family "Bacterial small subunit ribosomal RNA", at positions 524 to 776 of the family's 1533-position model. The record is from RNAcentral.